Molecule: long non-coding RNA, 302 nt
Filed under: Lathyrus oleraceus (garden pea)
Lineage: Eukaryota; Viridiplantae; Streptophyta; Magnoliopsida; Fabales; Fabaceae
Description: Pisum sativum (pea) long non-coding RNA (PSAT_LNC018919)
Source: RNAcentral
GUGGUCUCAGUAGCUACAAAUUCUUUAGGGUUUUUGUAUUGUUUCUCUUGUGUGUUUUCAAUAGGUUUUUUAUGUGUAUCAGUAUGUAUGAUUUUUUUCUCUGAAUGUGUGUGCAGUGGAUGAUUUUGUAGUGAGAAUUGGUGAAGGAUUUGAUACGUGUGACUUCUUGAGGUUGAGAUAUAUUUGUCUCAUCUCAAGUGUGUGAAUUAUGGAGAGGAUAAGGAUGAAUUUUGUUGUACUAUUAGUGAGUUAUCAGGAGAGGAACAAUACCAAAUUUAUGGGAUUUUUAGGUAGUGGAAUAG